This 1518-nucleotide long non-coding RNA is filed under the name Olea europaea (common olive). Its description in RNAcentral is "long non-coding RNA (OEUR_LNC005604)". The record is from RNAcentral. Lineage: Eukaryota; Viridiplantae; Streptophyta; Magnoliopsida; Lamiales; Oleaceae.
AUUAGAUUUAUUGAAUGAGAAAAACUUGAAUUACAAGCCCCAUGAAAGGAGAAAUUAACACUCCAUGAUAGGAGGAGAAACACUCCACAAAGGGAGGAAAUAAAACUCCAUUAAAGGAGGAAAAUCAACUCCAUAGAAGGAGGAAAUGAAACCUCCAUGGAAGGAGGGAUUGGAGAGAAACUACUACAAUCCAAUGAGUGAAAUGCAUACACAGUACCUUAUUUAUAGAGAAAAAGACUAGAGUAAUUAUCUAACUAAUUGGCUAAUCACCUAACUAAUUAACAGCCUAACAACUACAGCUGGGGAUUGAAGUUCUGUUAAGAUGGAAUCUGGUGUCCGUGGAAUUAGCUGGAAUCUGGUGGAAGCUUCUGGAUUUUUGGUGCACGUGUAUUCCAACACACCCCCCUCAAGAUGGACUAGGAGAUCCAUCUUGAAGAUUAAGGAGUGAAAUAUGAAGCAUACACUGAUCUUUUGCUGGUGAUCUUUUGCAGCAACCAAAAUCUGUUUGCAUGAGUCUUCUAUCAGGAGUACCCAGUAGGACUCGCAGUUUAAUUCUAAUCUUCUACUCAGGCUCCAUUUUAUCAGAAUCUGCACCAACACUCAGCGUUGAAGCUGUAGGAGCCUCAUCCUCAGAAGUGGCAUAGGACUCCAGAAUCAUAUGUGAACCGAAUAGAAAAUACUUCAAUAGAAGAUAUCACCAGAUCAAAUAAGUGAACAACUAGGGGGAAACAAAAUAAAGCCCGAUGGAUCUUCAAGUUUGCAAAUAAUAAUGCUAGAAGGUGCAAAAGCCCCAACAGACGUUGUUGACUCUGAGAGAAUUGGAGCAGGCCCGCUGGAAGGCAACCUGUACGUCCAGUAUGUUAUUGAAACCAAUCCUUGAUCUGAAGCCAAAGUUAUCUCCAGACUAACUGGUGGAUGAAUGAUGAUCGGACGUGUAUGCAUGACAAUGACAACGGAUCAGUAGAAGCUAAUUUUUGCUGGGAACCAACUUGAGGAUGGCCAGCUCUUAUUGAAUGCUGAAAGGACAAUCAUAUUCGAGUAGAAUUCUGGAAAACAAAAGCAACAGGAAGCAAUUUCUGCAGCAGCAAAUGGAAGCAAAAAAAAAUGCUCUGAUACCAUAUUAGAUUUAUUGAAUGAGAAAAACUUGAAUUACAAGCCCCAUGAAAGGAGAAAUUAACACUCCAUGAUAGGAGGAGAAACACUCCACAAAGGGAGGAAAUAAAACUCCAUUAAAGGAGGAAAAUCAACUCCAUAGAAGGAGGAAAUGAAACCUCCAUGGAAGGAGGGAUUGGAGAGAAACUACUACAAUCCAAUGAGUGAAAUGCAUACACAGUACCUUAUUUAUAGAGAAAAAGACUAGAGUAAUUAUCUAACUAAUUGGCUAAUCACCUAACUAAUUAACAGCCUAACAACUACAGCUGGGGAUUGAAGUUCUGUUAAGAUGGAAUCUGGUGUCCGUGGAAUUAGCUGGAAUCUGGUGGAAGCUUCUGGAUUUUUGGUGCACGUGUAUUCCAACAG